AACGACUGCUAAUACCGGAUAUGCCGUAAGGUGAAAGAUUUAUUGCCUGGAGAUGAGCUCGCGUCUGAUUAGCUAGUUGGUGGGGUAAAAGCCUACCAAGGCAGCGAUCAGUAGCUGGUCUGAGAGGAUGAUCAGCCACACUGGGACUGAGACACGGCCCAGACUCCUACGGGAGGCAGCAGUGGGGAAUUUUCCGCAAUGGGCGAAAGCCUGACGGAGCAAUACCGCGUGAGGGAGGAAGGCUUUUGGGUUGUAAACCUCUUUUCUUAAGGAAGAAUACAAUGACGGUACUUAAGGAAUAAGCAUCGGCUAACUCCGUGCCAGCAGCCGCGGUAAUACGGAGGAUGCAAGCGUUAUCCGGAAUGAUUGGGCGUAAAGCGUCCGCAGGUGGUUCUGUAAGUCUGCUGUUAAAGCGUGAGGCUCAACCUCAUAAUGGCGGUGGAAACUACAAGACUAGAGUACGUUCGGGGCAGAGGGAAUUCCUGGUGUAGCGGUGAAAUGCGUAGAUAUCAGGAAGAACACCAGUGGCGAAAGCGCUCUGCUAGGCCGUAACUGACACUGAGGGACGAAAGCUAGGGGAGCG
RNAcentral lists this ribosomal RNA (583 nucleotides) under uncultured bacterium. RNAcentral describes it as "bacterial SSU rRNA". It matches the Rfam family "Bacterial small subunit ribosomal RNA", at positions 155 to 770 of the family's 1533-position model. The record is from RNAcentral.